CGGUGUUCAACUGGCGUGCCCGCGGGACGUCCUGCCGGUGAGCUCAGCCCCGCGAGGGCGGCUCAACUUGAAAUCCCAUCGCGGUGCUCUUCAUUGAGUGUCGAGGUGGGCCGGCACGAUUACUUUUGAACAAAUUAGAGUGCUUAAAGCAGGCUAAAAUUUUGCCUGAAUACUGUGUAUAUGGAAUAAUGGAAUAGGACCUCGGUUCUAUUUUGUUGGUUUUCGGAACCCCCGAGGUAAUGAUUAAUAGGAACGGAUGGGGGCAUUCGUAUUGCGACGUUAGAGGUGAAAUUCUUGGAUCGUCGCAAGACGGACUAAAGCGAAAGCAUUUGCCAAAAACGCUUUCAUUGAUCAAGAACGAAAGUUAGAGGUUCGAAGGCGAUCAGAUACCGCCCUAGUUCUAACCAUAAACUAUGCCAGCUAGCGAUCCGCCGACGUCCCUCUGAUGACUCGGCGGGCAGCUUCCGGGAAACCAAAGCUUUUGGGUUCCGGGGGAAGUAUGGUUGCAAAGCUGAAACUUAAAGGAAUUGACGGAAGGGCACCACCAGGAGUGGAGCCUGCGGCUUAAUUUGACUCAACACGGGAAACCUCACCAGGCCCAGACACUGGAAGGAUUGACAGAUUGAGAGCUCUUUCUUGAUUCAGUGGGUGGUGGUGCAUGGCCGUUCUUAGUCGGUGGAGCGAUUUGUCAGGUUAAUUCCGAUAACGGACGAGACUCUGACCUGAUAACUAGACGCACUUGCGGCAUCUCAAAGGUCCGCCGGCGGCUGGCUUUGCGCCCGUCGUCGCGCGCGAUUUUUACUGCCGGCGUACAAUAAAUUCUUCUUAGAGGGACAAGUGG
This 841-nucleotide ribosomal RNA is filed under the name uncultured eukaryote. Its description in RNAcentral is "SSU rRNA". It matches the Rfam family "Eukaryotic small subunit ribosomal RNA", at positions 636 to 1426 of the family's 1831-position model. The record is from RNAcentral.